AUGAUGGCAGGGGCGACGCCGUGAUCACAAAGGUGGUUUUCCCAGGGCAAGGCUCACCCAUUGCACUUUGGAUGCCCCUGUGAUUUACUCAAAUGUGGGAAACUCGAUGGUCCCAUUGCACUUUGGAUGUGCUGCCCUUGUGAUUUACUCAAAUGUGGGAAACUCGAUGGCAUAAUUUGUGCUGGUGAGGGGACUGCAUUCACAGUUACUCC
RNAcentral lists this small nuclear RNA (212 nucleotides) under Ovis aries (sheep). Its description in RNAcentral is "U1 spliceosomal RNA". It matches the Rfam family "U1 spliceosomal RNA". Rfam says of the family: U1 is a small nuclear RNA (snRNA) component of the spliceosome (involved in pre-mRNA splicing). Its 5' end forms complementary base pairs with the 5' splice junction, thus defining the 5' donor site of an intron. Lineage: Eukaryota; Metazoa; Chordata; Mammalia; Artiodactyla; Bovidae. The record is from Rfam by way of RNAcentral.